Molecule: RNA transcript, 5428 nt
Organism: Harpia harpyja (harpy eagle)
Lineage: Eukaryota; Metazoa; Chordata; Aves; Accipitriformes; Accipitridae
Gene: LEO1
Gene name: LEO1 homolog, Paf1/RNA polymerase II complex component
Exons: 13
Source: RefSeq, a predicted model, not a curated record
GCGCGGCCGUGGCGCGGCAGCGGCGGGGCCGUUCUGUCGCCAUGGCCGACAUGGAGGACCUCUUCGGCAGCGACGCCGACUCGGAGCCUGAGCAGAAAGAUUCCGAUUCUGGAUCUGAAUCUGAUUCCGAUCAGGAGAAUGCUGGCUCUGGUAGUAAUGCUUCUGGAAGCGACAGUGACCAGGAUGAUGACAGAGAGGCAAUAAAACCUAGUAAUAAGGAGUUAUUUGGAGACGAUAGUGAGGAUGAAGGGGCAUCCCAUCACACAGGGAGUGACAACCACUCUGAAAGAUCCUACAAUCGCUCUGAAGCUUCAGGACAUUCUGAGCACGAAGAUAAUGAUCAGUCAGACAUGGACCAGCACAGUGUUUCAGAAGCUGCUCAUGACGAUGAGGAGGAUGAUCACGGGCAUGGGUCAGAUGAAGGCAGUCACCAUUCAGAGGGAGAUGGUUCUGAAAAAGCACAUUCAGAGGAUGAGAAGUGGGGCAAGGAGGACAAAAGCGAUCAGUCAGAUGAUGAGGAGAGACAGCAGAACUCUGAUGAUGAGGAGAGACAGCAGAACUCUGAUGAUGAGGAAAAAGUGCAGAACUCUGAUGAAGAUGAAAGGCCACAGAUAUCUGAUGAUGAGGAAAGACUCCAGAACUCAGAUGAGGAGAAAAUGCAGAAUUCUGAUGAUGAGGAGAGGCCACAGGCCUCAGAUGAGGAGAAGAUGCAGAACUCAGAUGAUGAUGAAAGGGCCCAGCCUUCUGACGAGGAGAAGAUGCAGAACUCGGAUGAUGACGAAAGGGCCCAGCACUCCGAUGAGGAGGACCAAGAGCAUAAAUCUGAGUCUGCAAGGGGCAGUGAUAGCGAAGAUGAAGUUCUGCGAAUGAAGCGGAAGAAACCGAUUGCAUCAGAUUCAGAAGUGGACAGUGAGACAGAAGGACAGAAAGAGCACGCAGAUGUCAUGGAUCUGUUUGGAGGUGCAGAUGACAUUUCCUCAGGGAGUGAUGGAGAAGACAAGCCACCAACCCCAGGACAGCCCAUUGAUGAGAAUGGACUGAGUCAAGAACAGCAGGAAGAAGAGCCUAUUCCAGAGACUAGAAUAGAGGUAGAAAUACCAAAAGUAAACACAGACUUGGGCAAUGAUUUGUAUUUUGUGAAGCUGCCCAACUUCCUUAGCGUGGAGCCCAGACCUUUUGAUCCCCAAUAUUAUGAAGAUGAAUUUGAAGAUGAGGAGAUGCUUGAUGAAGAGGGUAGAACUAGGUUAAAGCUUAAGGUAGAAAACACAAUACGAUGGCGGAUGCGACGUGAUGAGGAAGGGAAUGAGAUCAGAGAAAGUAAUGCUCGAAUAGUCAAAUGGUCAGAUGGAAGCAUGUCUCUCCACUUGGGCAAUGAGGUCUUCGAUGUGUACAAGGCGCCACUACAGGGAGAUCACAACCAUUUGUUUAUCAGACAAGGGACAGGUCUACAAGGACAGGCUGUUUUCAAGACAAAGUUAACCUUCAGGCCACACUCUACAGACAGUGCCACUCACAGGAAGAUGACUCUGUCUCUGGCAGAUAGAUGUUCAAAGACCCAGAAAAUUCGUAUUUUGCCAAUGGCAGGUCGCGAUCCAGAGUCUCAGCGCACAGAAAUGAUUAAGAAAGAAGAGGAGAGAUUAAGAGCUUCCAUUCGUAGAGAAUCUCAGCAGCGAAGAAUGCGGGAGAAGCAGCAUCAGCGUGGUCUGAGUGCAAAUUAUUUAGAACCCGAUCGCUAUGAUGAAGAGGAUGAGGGAGAUGAUGCAAUCAGUCUAGCAGCUAUCAAAAACAGAUACAAAGGUGGCAUCAGAGAGGAACGUGCUAGAAUCUACUCUUCUGACAGUGAUGAAGGCUCAGAUGAAGAUAAAACACAAAGACUACUCAAGGCAAAGAAACUUACUAGUGAUGAGGAAGGUGAGCCUUCUGGAAAGAGAAAAGCAGAGGAUGAUGACAAAGCAAGUAAGAAGCAUAAGAAAUACGUGAUCAGCGAUGAAGAGGAAGAAGAUGACGAUUAAUAUUAAGGAAGCACAAAAGUUGAUUUUUUUUUUUUUUUUUAAUAUAUAUUUAUAUAUAUAUUGUACAGUUCUCUUACAGCAAAGAUGUUUGUUCAGCUGGGAAGUCACUGGAGGAGAAGAUUCUGGACAGAAUGACUGCUGCUUUUACACUAUAUCUAAAUACCUUACUUGAUUAUGCAAUACCAGUUGUAAAGUGGGGAAAGGCUAGAAGAAAUACCUGAACUUUUCCAUGCUUUCUUUCCAAGAUGAAAUACCCCAUAUGUAGUUGUUUCUCGUUGGUGAGAGAGCAUUCAGAUGUUAUCUGUGCUGCUUUUUUAACUGACUUUUCACACAGGCCUACGGAGUUUGAAUGCGACUUGAAAAAGGUAACAGAAGGAAAACAGAACUAGCUUAAUGCUUCUUUAAACAAAACCAUUGACUGAUGCUGUGAAAAGAUUAUUAUGUGGAUUUGUGUUACAUAAGAUGAAAUAAAGUAGCUGAUAGUUACAUAAGAAGAACUGUUACCCAUGUCUCUCCUGCCCAGCUGAAUUCUGCUUUUUUUAUAAAACAGUAGAAGGGUGCAAGUGCCUCAUAGUGAGCAUUUUGCUCUCAUGACAUUCCCUAGUUCUUUGAGAUACAGCUUUCAACCUGGACAUCUUGCUUUCAUCAUCUUUAAUUAGGCUAGUAGUUUGUCAAAAUACUCUGCCUCCAUUUCUGCUGCCUGGAAGGUACGGGAAGUGUUCUAGCUGCAGCAGGACGGAGCUCUGCAUGUGUUAAUAUAUUCUGCUGAGCAGCUGACUGCAGUGUAGACAUUUGCAAGUAUGAAAACAAAGUGAAGAAUUUCAACUUGGAAGUCUGAGUGCCUGAGAAACUGUUCUUUUUUCUAUAAUUAAAUCGUUACCUAAGAGUUCCUGUGCCUCUUUAAUGUGCAGAUAAAACCUUUCUCCAUCUGCUGGAAUUUUGACCCUGUAAUCCUCUUAGUUUAGACCUCUGCUGGGAGACUGGUUCCUUACAUGAGGUUACCUGCUUUUCAUUUGCAACCUUCUCGGGAAGAAGCUAGCCGUUUAGAAAGGGACUCAUUCUGUAUGGACCUAACGUGCUCUAUUUUGAUGUAAAAUCAUCCCAGAUACCUCUUAAACAACGAAUUUGGCGUGUGGAAACACACCACCAAUUCACUGGUGAUAUGUUUGCUUUUAUGUCAGUUUUUAAUAAAAGUGUUGGCUAUUUUUAUUUUUACUACACUCCUAAGAGUGAAAAUGUUUUAAUCACUUUCAUAGGUUUGAUGCUGACUAAGCCUUUACUAAGUAAGUGGUCCACUUUAGCUUCCAAAAAUGAGGCUUUUUGUGGAUUACAAAGAUGAAAAGAAGUAAAUUUUUUACACUGUCUUCUUUUGUAAAUUGCUCUUUCAAAGUCUUACUUAAAUGUGGAAUUUUAGAAAGUGUUUUCUCAGUUUAAAUUGGUUUAACAGUCAUCUUGUAGUUAAAGUCACUUGAAUGAACUUAGCCUUAUCCACAGUAUUUUUUAGUUGUUAUUCUAACAUAUGGUUUUAUUUAACUCAAACACAGUUUUUGCUAUCCCUUUUUCCAGCCUCCAAGUAUGAGAGAAUUACUUGGGAUUGUUUCAUUUUACCAAAAUUAAAAAUAUUAACCAAAGGAAAGAGAAUGUGGAUUGAACUGUGUACUCUUGUACUGACUGGUCAGAAUACUUCUUCCAGAAAGGGCAUGAUCUGAACAACUUCCAACAAAGAAAAAUUUCUUUGAAGAGCUGGUAUUAAGCUGUGCGAGUGCUCGAUAUUCUGGCUAGUGGCAGGAUGUAGGAUAAAUUCUCACGAAACAGUUACUGAAAGCUGUUCUUGGUUAUAUAGUUUUGUUUCAAGUAUAUCCUUCAACUGUAUCCUGGUUUCCAGUUGUUGAUCUGGAGUUUUCUUUCUAGUACCUGGUAGUAUUUUCCACCAGCCAUUUUUCUCCAUACUAGCCAUGCAACUUGUCACGGAUUUCAUGUUGCAGCACACCUGAUGGAUCAGGGAGUGCCCACUGAAAGGAGCAGUUGCUCAUGCAGUCCUUGGCUCUUCCUAGCUGCAGGUUUGGCAAUAACUAGCCCAACUCAGUGAGUCAACUUGCUAAACUGUCAGGAAAUGUCCUUUUUGUUGAGUUCUUGUGUUUUCUGCCGGGUAUGCCUGCAGAACUGCCUUAUUGGCUGUGUGAGCAUCAGAGCCAGCUCAGUAAGUUGGUGUCAUCAUGACUUGGGGGACAUGAGGGAACGGCCUCUUUGGCAGAGGUAAACAUUUACUUGACUUUCUUUCGAAAACUUACCCUGACCAUACAGAAAGGAGCGAAUGGUUUUCUACUGAUGUAGCUGCCUGAACUGGCACAUUGAAAAGUCAGCUGUGCCUUGAGUUGGCGCAAGGGGAAGCAGAGGUGGAGCAGGACAGAUUGUGUAUGUGGCAGCAAGUUUUAGCUCAGCUCUGAUACGAAGCAGCAGCCUGAGGAAUGUGUUAAACAUGAGAUGGUGACUUUCCCCUGAAGUCAUGGGUAUUUAUUUCUCAGCCAGUAGGCACAGGGUUCCUCAGUGUCAGCCAAUUCUAGCAGAGUGCUUUUGUUUAACAGCAUUAGACUGUAAUCAAGCUCUCUGGGUGGUGUUGAAUGUAUAGAGAUUGUUACAUGGGAAUGAUUGAGAAGAUGAUUUGUUUCUGAUAAAUGUUCUUUUAAUUUUUGCUAUAAGAGGUAUAACGUCUUACACUUGUGAAACUUAGGCUAAUUCUAAUGCUCACGAGCUUGCGUCUGGCUUGACUUGGAAGUGCUUCUUGGAGAGCAAUGUGACUAAUACCUACUGUUGCUUAGUGAUGCCCUUUGACUUGAGCUGGGGUUUUUCAAUACUUGUCUGGACAUGAAAGACUUGCAGAAAAGCUGCAAACUGAUAUUGAUUACUAGCUUGUAUCUUUAUUGUUUUAAAACUCCUGGGCAUUCCAAGGAAUUAUAUAAGAUAACUAGUUGAGAAAAUAACAUUAAGUAAAUCUAUGCUGAAAUGAUUCUCUGACACAAAGCCUUUUUGAAAAAGAAAAUCCUUUGACAAGACUUGGUUUCUUGAGGGUUUUGGUGGUGGUUUUUAAAGGGUAUUUUUAUGCUUUAAAAGCCUAUGAAUCUUAGUUUACUAGGCUGAUAUUUGGAAGAAAUCAGUUAUAAAAGUGGAAGCUUAACUUCAGAAAGUGGUUUUUGUUUUGGUCUGGUUUUUGUUUCCAUUAAGGCUUAGUCUUGAAGAAAUGAGAGGUGGUAGAGCCAGUUUACAAACAAACGUAACUUUGUAUCUCUGGGUUAUGUUGAAACUUUCUGGGAAGCAGUAGCAUUCAUGCAGUUAUUUUUAGUGAUGGAAUCAUAUCUGUGUUGUAUUCUUUAUUUAUUGUAAAUGAAAGAUUAAUAAAAUCUUAUAAAACAGUGGAA